UAAUGGUUAACUUAUAGUAAGCAAUCAUCAUAUAAAAAAGUCGAUUAAUGCCUGGAUGAAAAUCUUUUUGAAGACCAGAUCGGUACUGAAAAGAAAGAGCAGCAGACAGUCAAGCACAUUAGAUGAAAACAAAAAAAAUUAGUUUAUCUUCAAAGCCCAUCAAAAUCUGCAUGAGUGGCAUCACCUCAGCUACAAGUGCCAUGGUCCACUGUCAUCUGGUCGGUGAUUUUGUUUCAGCAAGCUCUACUACAGUGUUUUUCUACGAUAGACACCAUCUUUUGUUUUGUCAAUGCCGGUGCCUCUUGUGGGCAGUUUUUGCAAUG
This 323-nucleotide long non-coding RNA is filed under the name Androctonus crassicauda. The record is from RNAcentral. Lineage: Eukaryota; Metazoa; Arthropoda; Arachnida; Scorpiones; Buthidae.